AGUAACACGUGGGCAACCUGCCCAAAAGAGGGGGAUAACACUUGGAAACAGGUGCUAAUACCGCAUAACCAUAGUUACCGCAUGGUAGCUAUGUAAAAGGUGGCUAUGCUACCGCUUUUGGAUGGGCCCGCGGCGCAUUAGCUAGUUGGUGGGGUAAAGGCUUACCAAGGCAAUGAUGCAUAGCCGAGUUGAGAGACUGAUCGGCCACAUUGGGACUGAGACACGGCCCAAACUCCUACGGGAGGCAGCAG
RNAcentral lists this ribosomal RNA (251 nucleotides) under uncultured bacterium. RNAcentral describes it as "partial 16S ribosomal RNA". It matches the Rfam family "Bacterial small subunit ribosomal RNA", at positions 109 to 354 of the family's 1533-position model. The record is from RNAcentral.